Molecule: non-coding RNA, 421 nt
Organism: Cinara cedri
Lineage: Eukaryota; Metazoa; Arthropoda; Insecta; Hemiptera; Aphididae
Source: the annotation of a GenBank genome assembly
AAUAUUCGGAACACAUGUACUGUUUGGCGGUCCAUAGAGACACGAAUGGGAAUUAAUUAAUGUUCGCGCAUGCCCAGUGAUGGUUGUACAUGUGCAGUGAUAGUGCGUGUAAUCCCCUUAACCCGGCUUAUAGUGAUACGAUUUCAUAACACGGCAGAGAUGGAGUAUGGCUCCGUCCAUAGUGUAUUAUAAUCUAAGUAAAUAACAAGAUUAUGGUAAUAUUCGUGAUGAACCAAUAUAUGCUUUCCGUGGAAAUACUGAGAGAUAUCUGAGACGAUGUCUAAUUUUCGGUCAAAGCUCAGUUUACUAUCAAUAAGGCCACGCUGUGAACGAAUAACUCCUUCUCAUGGAAUUAUUUUUACCGUUGGUUUUACUAUGAUCGGCGUUUUGUUCUUGUUCUUUUGUCGAAUUAUCUAUCGUU